Lonchura striata (white-rumped munia) is the source of this 194-nucleotide non-coding RNA. Lineage: Eukaryota; Metazoa; Chordata; Aves; Passeriformes; Estrildidae. The record is from RefSeq and is a predicted model, not a curated record.
UGCCUCUGCUGAUUCGGAUGCUGGUUUGCUGUUGAAAUGAACGAGAGUUCAGCUCCAUACAACAGAGCAGGAAUUACAGCUGAAUUCCUCCCAGUACCACUGCUUUUCAUAUGCUAAAAUCAAUAGACUGGAUUCAGACAGGAGAGCCUGGAAUCUUCUAGAAACCAGAGAAGAGCACACAAUAUAGAUGAAGA